RNAcentral lists this RNase P RNA (428 nucleotides) under Treponema sp. RNAcentral describes it as "RNase P RNA component class A". It matches the Rfam family "Bacterial RNase P class A". Rfam says of the family: Ribonuclease P (RNase P) is a ubiquitous endoribonuclease, found in archaea, bacteria and eukarya as well as chloroplasts and mitochondria. Its best characterised activity is the generation of mature 5'-ends of tRNAs by cleaving the 5'-leader elements of precursor-tRNAs. Lineage: Bacteria; Pseudomonadati; Spirochaetota; Spirochaetia; Treponematales; Treponemataceae. The record is from RNAcentral.
GCGAUGAACCAGGCUGCCGCUUUGGGUUUGCCAAACAGGUGAAUUCAAGGAGGAAAGUCCGGGCUCCGCAGGGCAUGAUGCCGGGUAACGCCCGGGACCCAGAAAUGGGGACAGACAGCGCCACAGAAAAAAACCGCCUGGCCUGACCGCUAAAAAUGCUAAAUAUUGGCUUUUUUUGAACAAUUUUAUGGUAUUUUUAGUGGUCAGGCAGGGUAAGGGUGAAAAGGCGGGGUAAGAGCCCACCUCGGUUGCGGCAACGCCGCCGGAAAAAGGCAAGCCUCAUCAGGAGCAAAGUCAAGCAGCGUACCAAUUGCCCGUUGGUUAAACGCGGGUAGACUGCUAAAAAGAGCCGAAAACGGCUUUUUUAGACAGAUGGCAGCGGCCGGUUUUGACCGGCAACAGAACCCGGCUUAUGGUUCAUCGCGUUU